AAGAGUGAAUUACAUAAAUGGUACCUGAUCUUUCACUUUCGCACGAAAACGGUACCUGAUCUUUAUUUUAUAUCGUUUAUGGUACCUCGUCACUAAAAUACCCCCUUUCCAAUUCAGAAUGACAUCCAUGUCCCAGAGGGUUGUCAAGUACUUACGAAAGUUACUCGGGUGAAGGAAGAAACGGGUGUCGUUGGCUUAGAGUUGAGUACGAAAAUUGUUGGUGUCGCCAAAGAGCAAGUCUCAAAAUAGUGGCUGACGCACGAC
Molecule: long non-coding RNA, 264 nt
Organism: Salvia hispanica
Lineage: Eukaryota; Viridiplantae; Streptophyta; Magnoliopsida; Lamiales; Lamiaceae
Source: RefSeq, a predicted model, not a curated record